Molecule: long non-coding RNA, 1753 nt
Organism: Sander lucioperca (pikeperch)
Lineage: Eukaryota; Metazoa; Chordata; Actinopteri; Perciformes; Percidae
Exons: 2
Source: RefSeq, a predicted model, not a curated record
GUACACCCUCUUAUCUGCAUGAAGACAACAACAUGUCACUAAACACUCUCCUUUGGAGUAGACAAUGGCAGACUCCUCUCCACUCCACAAUAGUCAGCCCCCCCCCCCCCCCCCAGCUCAUCCGUCAGUUUAAGCACACAAAAUGUUGUCUUCCCUUAAAUAAAAAAUGAAUGUCAUACAUUGUGUUUCCCCCUAAUAAACUGCAAUCUCUCCAUGAAACAAUUAUGUCGCUAUAUUGUCCUACACCCUAAUACAAUGUUGGAUGUAAUACUUUGUGGUAGCAACAUAUAUAAGAUAGUAUAUUACAUGUCAAACUGUAGUUUUAACUGUGAAAGUCAAAGUUUUGUCCGAAUCCGUGUUGCGUAAAAUUGCAUUAUUAUCAUCGAUCAGUGCGCGCUAUGGCUCCGUGUAUUUUCGCCCGCUUGUGCCGACCCAAGAGCCCCCAGUGCUCCCGGCCAGGGCUCCCUUUUUACGGCAACCCAAGGCUCAGCGUUUCCUCUUACGCCGCGAGCAGACGCUUUUACUGCAGCAUGUUUGUGAUCCCCUCUCCACAGCCACCCCGCCCAGACCAGGAACAAAGGAAAGCUGCACAAAAUGCGCUACCGAAAAAAUGCCACAAAAUGAUUUCCAGACGAAAACUCGAUGUGAAACUCACCAGACAUGAUGGUGGAGAUGAAGAGAGGCUCCCUGGAGAAGACCUGUGGGACUCCACAACGUCCUUUUCUGCCUCAGCAAAAUGGCCAAGAAUGAAAUUUGCGCAAAAGUAUUAAAAAAUCUCAACACAAAUGUCCUACAGCAGAGCCAGAGCAUAGAACAAUAUUGUAAUAUAGCUGGGGACAUAUUAGUUUGAGAUUUUCUCCCACCAUGCCUACUAUUUAAAACCCCUAGAACUCAAUGAUUUGACAAUGAUUUGAUUGCGCGUUACUUUCAAUUUGAAUAUUCAGAGGCAACAGAGUUUUAUCGAUUUUUCAAUAAAAAACACUCCACAUUAACAUUGUAUACGGUUCACUAUAAUGUAAUAUAGUAGUAUUUCACACUUUGACCAAAAAUAAACCAUAGUUUUAUUAAUUUUAUCUUCCUUUUGCAAUAUCAGAGCAUCACACCCCCUCAUUAAGCACUACAGGCCUAUAUGCUUUUUGCACACAACUUUAACACAGCAGUUCACCUUAUAUCUGCGAUCACGCAUUCACUGCGGCCAGUCUACAUGCCCACAAUAUAUUCAAACAUAUCUUUAAGCUUUAUUUCAUAGAAAAACAUGUGAAAGUGGCAAAGAAGUGGGCGUGGCAAAUGACAGUAGCCAUCUUUGCCAUCGCAGGCCUUCAGCUCCUCUAUCAAGUGCUCUGAGUACACCCACCUGCUGAAGGAUGCAGGGGGGAGACUCAGCAGCUCUUUGCGUUUAUAAUUUUACCUUUUAGACACUUUACAUUAUAAAAAAAUAAAGAAAAAAAAAGAAAGAAAAUUUCCCAGUGAGGAUCCACAGUUUGACAGGGAAUCGUUUCACAUUUAAAUAUACCUUCUUAAUUCAAACACUAAAUCACUUCCAUAUAAAUUUCAUUAAAGCUUAAAUGCAUUUAUUUUCGAAUCCUUUAUAGAAGGUUGCGUUGAGAACUUUGGCAGCUUCGUGCACCAGACAGCAGCAAUAUAUUCACAUCAGCCGGUAUAAAAUGUUGCAAUACACUUUUUUUUCUUCUUUUUUUUAAUUGGGAGACACAUGAUAAGUAACACAAUUAUCAAAAAUUACAGCAAAAUUAAA